Molecule: ribosomal RNA, 770 nt
Filed under: Staphylococcus aureus
Lineage: Bacteria; Bacillati; Bacillota; Bacilli; Caryophanales; Staphylococcaceae
Description: bacterial SSU rRNA
Rfam family: Bacterial small subunit ribosomal RNA
Source: RNAcentral
UGCAGUCGAGCGACGGACGAGAAGCUUGCUUCUCUGAUGUUAGCGGCGGACGGGUGAGUAACACGUGGAUAACCUACCUAUAAGACUGGGAUAACUUCGGGAAACCGGAGCUAAUACCGGAUAAUAUUUUGAACCGCAUGGUUCAAAAGUGAAAGACGGUCUUGCUGUCACUUAUAGAUGGAUCCGCGCUGCAUUAGCUAGUUGGUAAGGUAACGGCUUACCAAGGCAACGAUGCAUAGCCGACCUGAGAGGGUGAUCGGCCACACUGGAACUGAGACACGGUCCAGACUCCUACGGGAGGCAGCAGUAGGGAAUCUUCCGCAAUGGGCGAAAGCCUGACGGAGCAACGCCGCGUGAGUGAUGAAGGUCUUCGGAUCGUAAAACUCUGUUAUUAGGGAAGAACAUAUGUGUAAGUAACUGUGCACAUCUUGACGGUACCUAAUCAGAAAGCCACGGCUAACUACGUGCCAGCAGCCGCGGUAAUACGUAGGUGGCAAGCGUUAUCCGGAAUUAUUGGGCGUAAAGCGCGCGUAGGCGGUUUUUUAAGUCUGAUGUGAAAGCCCACGGCUCAACCGUGGAGGGUCAUUGGAAACUGGAAAACUUGAGUGCAGAAGAGGAAAGUGGAAUUCCAUGUGUAGCGGUGAAAUGCGCAGAGAUAUGGAGGAACACCAGUGGCGAAGGCGACUUUCUGGUCUGUAACUGACGCUGAUGUGCGAAAGCGUGGGGAUCAAACAGGAUUAGAUACCCUGGUAGUCCACGCCGUAAACGAU